Molecule: long non-coding RNA, 856 nt
Organism: Rhea pennata
Lineage: Eukaryota; Metazoa; Chordata; Aves; Rheiformes; Rheidae
Exons: 3
Source: RefSeq, a predicted model, not a curated record
CCCUCGGCGCGCUGCGCGCUGCACCGCCGCCCUUCACCUGCCCGCCGCGGACUGGGGCGCGGGGGCGCCGCUUGUCCGCCUCCAGGCUCGGAAGGCACCGAGAAAAUGAUUGUAUUUACUCCUGAUGCUGGGAAUUUCAGAGAUUAGAGGAUUUGCCUAAGAAGUACAGUGGUCACAAGAGAAUAAUGCCUCCCAACAACUUGAGACUUGCAUACAGACUGCAGAUUUACUGCUGCAAUCUUUAAACUUGGAAGAGCUGACAACUUUUCUGGCUUCUCCGAAUCUGCAAAACUUUUAACAUGUGAAAAGGAAAGAAUAUGCAUUCCUGCUCCAUCCCCCUCUCUCCACAGCAGCAGAGGUGAGGACCAUUGCCUCUUGUUCUUUCUCCCAGGAUGGAAUUUUGCAUUUCUUUGUUAACUGGGCCUCCCGGCCCACGAUCUAUAAAGACUGCAGUUUGCCCAAAACACAGCAGAGACUCUUUGCAAGCACAUUGCAACUGCAACAUUUUGUUUCACAUCUGUGAUCCAUGUAUCUUCUGUCUGUUGUUCCCAGGUUUAAAUUUAUAUCUUGACUUUUAAGUAUCUAAGUUAGUAGCAUUUUUAUUUAAAAGAUACUGUUUUCUCUGGUAUUCACUACAAUUGGCUGUGCUUUAAGUAGGAUGGGAGUUUAGUCAGUUGUUAGUACAACUUGUUUUUCUUCUUUUUAUCCCUUUCACCCAGUGGAAGGUUUCCUGCUGCUCACUCCACUGAUAUUUGAUAUCCUGCCUCCAACUGAUGUUCAUCUUUAACUUACUUUUAAAGAACAUCGUGUCAACUAGCUCUGUUAAUUAUCACUCAUUUUGUCUUUUUUAUUGUAU